Molecule: ribosomal RNA, 479 nt
Filed under: uncultured bacterium
Lineage: Bacteria
Description: bacterial SSU rRNA
Rfam family: Bacterial small subunit ribosomal RNA
Source: RNAcentral
UGCAAGUCGACGGUAACGCGGAGAGCUUGCUCUCUGGCGACGAGUGGCGGACGGGUGAGUAACGCGUGGGAAUCUGCCUAGUAGUGGGGGACAACUCGAGGAAACUCGAGCUAAUACCGCAUACGCCCUACGGGGGAAAGCGGGGGAUCUUCGGACCUCGCGCUAUUAGAUGAGCCCGCGUCGGAUUAGCUAGUUGGUGAGGUAAAAGCUCACCAAGGCGACGAUCCGUAGCUGGUCUGAGAGGACGAUCAGCCACACUGGGACUGAGACACGGCCCAGACUCCUACGGGAGGCAGCAGUGGGGAAUAUUGGACAAUGGGGGAAACCCUGAUCCAGCAAUGCCGCGUGUGUGAAGAAGGCCUGCGGGUUGUAAAGCACUUUCAGUGAGGAAGAAAAGCCUGGGGUUAAUACCCCCGAGUCUUGACGUUACUCACAGAAGAAGCACCGGCUAACUCCGUGCCAGCAGCCGCGGUAAUACG